UACAGAGGGUGCAAGCGUUGUUCGGAAUACUGGGCGUAAAGCGCGUGUAGGCGGUCUGGCAAGUCGGUCGUGAAAGCCCUUGGCUUAACCAAGGAACUGCGAUCGAAACUACCGGACUAGAGUAUCGGAGGGGGUGGCGGAAUUCCCGGUGUAGAGGUGAAAUUCGUAGAUAUCGGGAGGAACACCUGUGGCGAAGGCGGCCACCUGGAAGAUUACUGACGCUGAGACGCGAAAGCGUGGGGAGC
This 245-nucleotide ribosomal RNA is filed under the name uncultured Anaeromyxobacter sp. Its description in RNAcentral is "partial 16S ribosomal RNA". It matches the Rfam family "Bacterial small subunit ribosomal RNA", at positions 524 to 769 of the family's 1533-position model. The record is from RNAcentral. Lineage: Bacteria; Pseudomonadati; Myxococcota; Myxococcia; Myxococcales; Anaeromyxobacteraceae.